This 252-nucleotide ribosomal RNA is filed under the name uncultured bacterium. RNAcentral describes it as "partial small subunit ribosomal RNA". It matches the Rfam family "Bacterial small subunit ribosomal RNA", at positions 27 to 278 of the family's 1533-position model. The record is from RNAcentral.
GGGACGAACGCUGGCGGCGUGCUUAACACAUGCAAGUCGAACGGAAAGGCCCUCUUUUGGGGGUGCUCGAGUGGCGAACGGGUGAGUAACACGUGGGUGAUCUGCCCUGCACUUCGGGAUAAGCUUGGGAAACUGGGUCUAAUACCGGAUAGGGCUACAGGACGCAUGUUUUGUGGUGGAAAGCUUUUGCGGUGUGGGAUGGGCCCGCGGCCUAUCAGCUUGUUGGUGGGGUGAUGGCCUACCAAGGCGACG